RNAcentral lists this ribosomal RNA (466 nucleotides) under uncultured bacterium. RNAcentral describes it as "bacterial SSU rRNA". It matches the Rfam family "Bacterial small subunit ribosomal RNA", at positions 374 to 837 of the family's 1533-position model. The record is from RNAcentral.
GGCGCGAGCCUGAACCAGCCAAGUCGCGUGAGGGAAGACGGUCCUAUGGAUUGUAAACCUCUUUUGUCGGGGAGCAAAAGACGCCACGUGUGGCGUUCCGAGAGUACCCGAAGAAAAAGCAUCGGCUAACUCCGUGCCAGCAGCCGCGGUAAUACGGAGGAUGCGAGCGUUAUCCGGAUUUAUUGGGUUUAAAGGGUGCGCAGGCGGAAGAUCAAGUCAGCGGUAAAAUUGAGAGGCUCAACCUCUUCGAGCCGUUGAAACUGGUUUUCUUGAGUGAGCGAGAAGUAUGCGGAAUGCGUGGUGUAGCGGUGAAAUGCAUAGAUAUCACGCAGAACUCCGAUUGCGAAGGCAGCAUACCGGCGCUCAACUGACGCUCAUGCACGAAAGUGUGGGUAUCGAACAGGAUUAGAUACCCUGGUAGUCCACACAGUAAACGAUGAAUACUAAUUGUUCGGGGAGAAUGAUC